UAUUUUGACUAUACAAAGGUAUUGUAAUAAGACUUUAAUUGAGUGCUAAAAGAAUGGAAUUUCAAAAAAAAUCUUUUUUAAAAUUAAAAAUUGAAGUUAUUUUUAUAAGUGAAGAAACAAUAAUAAAAAUUUAGGACAAGAAGACCCUAUGAAUUUUUAUAUUAUGUAUGUAAUAUAUAUUAUAUAUAUAUAAUAUUUGAUUGGGGCGAUUAAAAAAAAUUAAAAACUUUUUGAAUAAAAAUUUGAUCCAUUAAUAAUGAUUUAAUGUUAAAAUACUCUAGGGAUAACAGCGUAAUAAUUUUGGAUAGAUCUUAUAGAUAAAAUAGUUUGCGACCUCGAUGUUGGAUUAGGAUACUUAUUUAAUGAAGAAGUUAAGUAAAGAAGUUUGUUCAACUUUUAAAUUCC
RNAcentral lists this ribosomal RNA (405 nucleotides) under Haemaphysalis kitaokai. Its description in RNAcentral is "partial 16S ribosomal RNA". Lineage: Eukaryota; Metazoa; Arthropoda; Arachnida; Ixodida; Ixodidae. The record is from RNAcentral.